This 506-nucleotide ribosomal RNA is filed under the name uncultured bacterium. RNAcentral's name for it is "partial 16S ribosomal RNA". It matches the Rfam family "Bacterial small subunit ribosomal RNA", at positions 29 to 523 of the family's 1533-position model. The record is from RNAcentral.
AGUGAACGCUGGCGGUAGGCCUAACACAUGCAAGUCGAACGGCAGCACAGAGGAGCUUGCUCCUUGGGUGGCGAGUGGCGGACGGGUGAGGAAUACAUCGGAAUCUACUCUGUCGUGGGGGAUAACGUAGGGAAACUUACGCUAAUACCGCAUACGACCUACGGGUGAAAGCAGGGGAUCUUCGGACCUUGCGCGAUUGAAUGAGCCGAUGUCGGAUUAGCUAGUUGGCGGGGUAAAGGCCCACCAAGGCGACGAUCCGUAGCUGGUCUGAGAGGAUGAUCAGCCACACGGGAACUGAGAAACGGUCCAGACUCCUACGGGAGGAAGCAGUGGGGAAUAUUGGACAAUGGGCGCAAGCCUGAUCCAGCCAUACCGCGUGGGUGAAGAAGGCCUUCGGGUUGUAAAGCCCUUUUGUUGGGAAAGAAAUCCAUCUGGUUAAUACCCGGGUGGGAUGACGGUACCCAAAGAAUAAGCACCGGCUAACUUCGUGCCAGCAGCCGCCGUAA